AAAGCAACAUAAUACCUUUACUCAUAAUUUAUUCACAAUAACAAAAUUAUUUUUCAAUAUCUCUGUCUGUUGCUUGACAUUUAUUUUUAGCUUGCACUUUUAAUUCUGUUUGUACAAUAUUGUUUGCAUAAUUUAGGGUCUGUGCAAUUCCCACAAUGUCUAGUCUCUGUCCCCACAGUCGGGUGGUAUAAUCCGGUAACCCUUCGGAUUUGAAUCAGAAAAAGAAUAAUAGCGAUGAAAGCGAAGUUGAACGGCGAAUGGUUGAACAGCGACGCGAGAAACGCAGCCGGGUCAUUUCUGACCCAUUUUAAACUGUUUUGGUGGCGCCAGGAGGAUGAAUUUCGCCGAUCCUUUACCUUAACAGUAAAACUACCGGACGGGACUAACAUCGGUAAGCGAGGGUUCAGCAGGAGAUUGAUUACGAACCGCAGUCGAUGAACUUUCAGGUUGGAAUAAAAAUGAUUGUAAGGAGAUUGCCUCGGAAUAUAAGAUGUUGUAAUAGCUAUAUAAAUAACAGUAUCUAUCAAUAAGUUCAUCGUUAGAUUGUUAAAAGUACAGAAAUAUUUUGAGCAUUUCAGUUACGCUAACUAUUAUAAUAACUUUCCGCUUGAAUGGAGAAUGCAUAUUUUAAAUGUAUUAUUUGUAAUGCUGCAGAAAACAAUAAACGGAAGUUUA
Molecule: RNA transcript, 675 nt
Organism: Nomia melanderi (Alkali bee)
Lineage: Eukaryota; Metazoa; Arthropoda; Insecta; Hymenoptera; Halictidae
Source: RefSeq, a predicted model, not a curated record